GGAGGGAUCAUUACCGAGUUUUCAACUCCCUAACCCUUAUGUGAACCUACCUAUUGUUGCUUCGGCGGACUCGCCCCAGCCGGACGCGGACUGGACCAGCGGCCGCCGGGGACCCUCAAACUCUUGUAUUAUCAGCAUCUUCUGAAUACGCCGCAAGGCAAAACAAAUAAAUCAAAACUUUCAACAACGGAUCUCUUGGCUCUGGCAUCGAUGAAGAACGCAGCGAAAUGCGAUAAGUAAUGUGAAUUGCAGAAUCCAGUGAAUCAUCGAAUCUUUGAACGCACAUUGCGCCCGCCAGCAUUCUGGCGGGCAUGCCUGUUCGAGCGUCAUUUCAACCCUCGACCUCCCUUUGGGGAAGUCGGCGUUGGGGACCGGCAGCACACCGCCGGCCCUGAAAUGGAGUGGCGGCCCGUCCGCGGCGACCUCUGCGUAGUAAUCCAACUCGCACCGGAACCCCGACGCGGCCACGCCGUAAAACACCCAACUUCUGAACGUUGACCUCGAAUCAGGUAGGACU
This 517-nucleotide ribosomal RNA is filed under the name uncultured Beauveria. RNAcentral's name for it is "eukaryotic LSU rRNA". The stretch from base 176 to 329 matches the Rfam family "5.8S ribosomal RNA". Lineage: Eukaryota; Fungi; Ascomycota; Sordariomycetes; Hypocreales; Cordycipitaceae. The record is from RNAcentral.